Molecule: RNA transcript, 5755 nt
Organism: Ahaetulla prasina
Lineage: Eukaryota; Metazoa; Chordata; Lepidosauria; Squamata; Colubridae
Gene: ABCD1
Gene name: ATP binding cassette subfamily D member 1
Exons: 11
Source: RefSeq, a predicted model, not a curated record
ACAGUAAGGACCGGAAUAGCAAAGUCACGGGACUAUUUUCGAAACUUGGCGUUUUGGGUUUGUUUUUUUGCUUUCCUCAGAACGAAGAAGUAGAAACCUCCUCCUUCCCGGCCUCGCCCUCUACCGGCCACCUGUAGAAUCGUCCUCCCUCUCUCGUCCUCUCUAUGGUCUGAGGGAUGGCCUUUCUUCAGUUCCCUCCCCCUCUUGUCACUCCGAGGGUUGGGCGUUGUGGAUUGAGAGCCGACUCCCGGCUAGCUAGUCAGCCCCGCUAUAGUUAGCCGGAGGAAGCUGCCUUCUUGCUGGGAGAGGAAAAGCAGAAGCCCGAAGCGGAGGCACUGCCUCCCAGCCCUUGUGAUUAUGCCCUUCACCACAGCCAAAGUAGCCACACGGCUGAGCCAAGGAAUCACCGCCAAAAGAGCAGCCGUGGCACUGUUGUUGGCAGCUUAUGGGGCCAGGAAGUUGUACCCCAUCCUGCGGAGACAGUGGGCUGCCUCAGUCCUCCACCAGGUGAAUGCAGAGACCACCAGCCCCAGGGAGUCAACAGCAAAGUGGAGGGAACUGGAGGUGGACGCUGCAUCACCACCUGGUGUAAACAAGGUGUUUUUCCUCCGUCUCCUCCGACUCCUGAGGUUGCUGUUCCCCGGGCCACUGUGCCGGCAGACGGGACUCUUGGCUUUGCAUUCAGCUGCCCUUGCUAGCCGCACCUUCCUCUCGGUUUACGUGGCCCAGCUGGAUGGACGCUUGGCCCGCUGCAUUGUCCGUAAGAACCCACGGGACUUUACGUGGCAGCUUCUUCAGUGGCUCCUCAUUGCCCUGCCAGCCACUUUUGUCAACAGUGCCAUUCGGUACCUGGAAGGACAACUGAGCCUGGCCUUCCGUGGACGCUUAGUGGACCAUGCCUAUCGGCUCUACUUUGAGGGCCAGACCUACUAUCGGGUCAGCAACAUGGAUGGAAGGUUGCGUAACCCGGACCAGUCGCUUACCGAAGAUUUGGUGGCCUUCGCUAAUUCCGUGGCCCAUCUCUACUCAAACUUGACCAAGCCUGUCCUUGAUCUCAUUGUGACUUCCUAUACCUUGGUCAGUUCAGCUAGAUCAAAGGGGGCUGACACAGCCUGGCCCUCAUUUAUUGCUGGUUUGGUAGUCUGUAUCACUGCCAAGGUGCUACGUGCCUGUUCACCAAAGUUUGGCCAACUGGUAGCUGAAGAAGCACGCCGGAAAGGAGAGCUGCGCUACAUGCAUUCUCGUGUGGUGGCCAAUUCAGAAGAGAUUGCCUUCUAUGGCGGGCAUAAGGUGGAGCUGUCCCUUCUGCGGCAUUGUUAUCAUCAGCUGGCCUCUCAAAUCAACGUGCUCCUUCUGGAGAGACUCUGGUAUGUGAUGCUGGAACAGUUCCUUAUGAAGUAUGUGUGGAGUGCUGCUGGGCUGGUCAUGGUGGCUGUACCGAUCAUCACUGCUACUGGCUAUUCUGAAACAGAUUCAGAGGCAGUGAAACAAGCUGCACUGGAAAUGGAAGAGCAAGAAUUGGUAAGCUUGAGGACUGAGGCUUUUACCACAGCACGGAGUCUCUUGUCUGCAGCAGCUGAUGCCACAGAGAGGGUCAUCUCUUCCUACAAAGAGGCAACUGAACUAGCAGGCUACACUGCUCGUGUGUAUGAGAUGUUCCGGGUGUUUGAGGAUGUGAAAUGCUGCAAUUUCCGACGCCCCGGAGAGCUUGAUGAAGGCCAGGCUCCGGCUGGAACAGUUAUGAAACAUGGUAUGCGUGUCGAGGGCUCACUCCAGAUCCAAGGGCAUGUGAUUGAUGUUGACCAUGGGAUUGUCUGUGAAAACAUCCCCAUCAUCACUCCUACCGGGGAUGUGGUAGUCACCAGCCUCAAUAUCCGAGUAGACGAAGGCAUGCACCUCCUGAUCACUGGACCAAAUGGCUGUGGGAAGAGUUCCCUUUUCCGCAUCUUGGGGGGCCUUUGGCCAACUUAUAAUGGCACCCUCUACAAACCACCUCCUCAUCGAAUGUUUUACAUUCCACAGAGACCAUAUAUGUCUGUGGGCACCCUGAGAGACCAGGUGAUUUACCCAGAUACAGCCAAGGACAUGGGACGGAAAGGACACACCGAUUCUGACCUGGAACGGAUUUUGGACGUCGUCAACCUCAAUUAUAUUGUACAGCGUGAAGGAGGUUGGGAAGCUGUCAACGAUUGGAAGGAUGUACUUUCAGGUGGCGAGAAGCAGAGAAUGGGGAUGGCCCGGAUGUUCUAUCACAGGCCAAAGUAUGCUCUCCUCGAUGAAUGCACCAGUGCCGUCAGUAUUGAUGUAGAAGGCAAGAUCUUCCAAGCAGCAAAGGAUGCAGGAAUAGCAUUGCUGUCCAUCACACACCGACCUUCGUUGUGGAAGUACCAUACCCACCUCCUCCAGUUUGACGGGGAGGGUGGCUGGGGGUUUGAGAAGCUGGAUCCUGAAGCCCGUUUCUCUCUGCGGGAGGAGAAGCAACGCCUGGAGCAGCAGCUGGCUGGUGUCCCUGAAAUGCAGCAACGUCUCAGCGAACUUUGUCAAAUACUGGGUGAAGAUGCACCCUCUGCAGUGGGAUAGGUUGGUGAUUUUGGGUGCCUUCCAAUCUCCUUUCCCUGCUGGCUUGGUGAGAAGGAUCCUAACUGCGACGCUCUCACCUCAGGAGCUGCACAAGAUGGCCAGUUUUUGUCCCAGCCACCCAAGGAGCAGUUAAGGAUACCCUGCGGGAGGGCAUUACUUAUGUCUGGCACCCAUUAAUUUAUUCUUCUGCCUCUGUUUAGGGAUGGAGGAAGAAAGGGGUUGCCCCACACUGCCAAUAUCUCUGAAGCCAGCCCUUUCAAUCCCCACACACAUGGUGCCUCAAUACCCCUCAAUAGUACAAGUUCUUCACUAGUGGGAAUUGCACUGGUCCACUGCCAGUCUCGAGCCUCUGUACUCAUGGACUUUUUGGAGUAACUUCUCAGCUACUGCCACACCAACACAGAAAGUUCAGCCAAACCAAUCACAGCCUUUCUUCGCAGAAAUGCCGCACAUAUAGCACAAGUGAACAGAGCUCUCACCAGCCUCUUCCAUUCUGGCCUCCACAGCAAGGCUGCAACAUUUGGCUCCACUGGCAGAUAUCUGGUACCCAAAUUGAGGGAUGUUUGCUGCUCCUUUAAACAGCCCUGGAGCAAAGCAGAAAGUUUAAGAAAUUCAGAGUUAGGUUGGUUAUAUUCUAUGAAAUGCACAUAUUUUCCAGGCACUUACCCAUCGUCUCUUUAAGAAACUCUUCGUGAUACAGGGCAAGUUGCCUAAAGAGGUCCCGGAUCCAUGAGGCCCGUCUUCUGAAGUUACCUUGGGAUGUUAUGUCUCUUGUUUCGAGCAUGCUCAGAUGGUGCCCAAGGUUCACCAUCUGGUACCCUUAUAGAUGAUUCAAACUGUGUUGCCGACAGCACAUCUUUGUAACCUCUGGGAUCUCAGCACUGCAUUCGAAGUAUGCUCAGUAAACACAGACAUGGGAAAGUCUUCCUGAAACGGGAAGAAAAUCACUGUUUGCGAUUUACUUUAACGUUGUGAUCUUGCAAGGUCAGAUUUUGCAGCUUAGACUAUCCAGCCUUUCCCCAAGGUUUGUCUGCAUGCCUUCUGAUAUGGAGAAGGCCUUCGCUUUGGGGAGGAAAUGACCCUUUAUUGAGGGAGCUGUAUUUCAGUAUCGCCCGAUGGAAUUGGGUCUGUCAAAUUGGAAUUUCCUAGAGAGACUACACCAGAAUUUCCUAGAAAUAUUUUUAUUGUAAGUACUCAUUUGAUUUAGACUUCUCCGACGUUCUCAUUUUCUGUAGACCAUGACAGGGUACGCGGGUUCCCAAUUCAUUUAGUCCCUUGCCUGAAGCAGGAUACAUAAAGGCAUUCUUACUUGCAAACUAUAGAGCUUUGCCAAUUUAUUUGCAUUGGAAUAAGAUCCUAGCCUGUCUUGACUGAGGAUAGAGCACAUGGUAACUCCUGUCUCAGCUACUGUGUGCAUAUUAUUUUAUCCUGCCACUUUAACUGAUAGGUUUUGUAGCGGGACUACACUAGAUAGGAAAAGAAUAAGUGGAUCCCCUUUUAUGAGACCUACAUUAGAUUAUUAUUCUUACUAUUGUUACGGUAUUGUUGGUCUGCUUCCCCUCCCCCCAAAAAACCCCAAAAUCAUGAGAUGGUGAGACUUCCUACUAUCAUGGCUUAAAGCAGGGUUGGAGACCCCUAGUUUAAAGUACUAAUAUCAACUUUCUCCCUAUGAAAUAAAAGACCAACAAACUAUUAUUAAUAUUAGCGCCAAGGCCCAUCCAAUAGUUCCUUUUAGUGGGAACUUCAUUAAACCUGAUAUCAAUUUUACAGGCUGUCUUGGCCCACGAUUCCUUUGUUUUCCAGAAUUUCGAGCGGCUGGGAUCCCACCCGUAACAUCCUCCCGCGUAUCCACAUUUGGUUGAAUCUGCCUAUGCAGAGUAAUGAGGCACUUUUUGGGGAUUAAAAAAAAACUGGACUGGUUUAGAUUUUGCAAGCUGCUGUAUUCUUUAAAAAAUGCUCCCUCACUUCUCCCUCAUAAUUAAACAAAACAAAGAACAGCACAAGGAAAAAAGCUUGAAUAACCUUUUCUCCCACACAUGCCCCUUGAGGAGAUGUUGGAUUUCUGUGGUUGCUCAAAAGCCCAGCUCCUAUCUCCACCAUCCAUGCCUGUAGUUUGAAGUAAUACUGCUUACUUCGCCAUAUUCAGCUGAAUGAGCCGAUGUAACCUUUUAGUUCCACCUUUCUAUUUUUGUAGAAACGAGAAAGUCACGAUCCCACAGUUGCUGCUUCCUGCAGAUCAAAAGAGAGACUCUUAACAGUUCCAUGCUGCUCUCUGCCCCCUCCUUUACUCCCACAAGAACUUGUGGUAUUUGCUACCAGUGACCCUUCACUGCUUAUGACCCUAUUGUUAUAUUUUCCAGCCACAGACCCAUCAAGCCCGGCUGUCCCAAUCUCACCAGUAAAGUCGAAGAUAUUUAUAGGGAAGUUUCAGUCAGCAUCAAAUUACUUGUCUCGUGCCCGCUAGAGCAGAUCUUUAAUUCAGAUUGUACUAAGCCAAAAUGGGAUGGGUUGAUUUGUGAUGUAAUGCAAUAUUGUGAUUUGUAAAAAAAAAUAUGGUUCUCGGCUUGGCGUGAAUUCAUCCAGCUAUCUUAAUCAACAAAAACAUGGUUUUGAAUGAGAGUGUAGAAUGAUAUGUGAAACCUGUCAAUAUGUACGCAUAUAAGAGCAGAUUGGAUAUUGGAGGGAGGUUCCAGAUGCUGAGAAGCUUGAUGAAGGAAAUUCAUCUUCUUCUUUUUCCUCCUCUCCUUUACUGUAGUGUGUAAGUGACUAGUUUUAUUUACUGUGUGUCCACAUUUUGUAAAGUACUUUGAAAUGGCAUUAUCAGAUCUAUUAUGGGCCAUUUUAUGAGCCUGGUGUGUUCUAUCUACUCUUCUAGAAAGAAAGAAAGCAAAGCUGUUUUAUUGCUUAUUGGGGAGGGGGAGAGAACAGCAAAAGCCAAAGAGUGUGCCAUUGAGAUUGUGUAUCUGUCAAAUGUAACAUUCUCACUGCAGCACAUAGCUAUUUCCAUCUAUUAGCUUUGAUGUCAAAAUCAUGCAAACUAUGCAACAAAGAUUUUCGUGGUAGUUUUGGACAGGCAGGACUACCCACUCUGUCUUCUGUCCUCACAGUGCCUUUUAUGCUGGCAAUGCCAGGUUUAUUCAGAUGAUGUUAAUAAAUACGACGAAACACAAUUGUC